GUCACAGGUGGCGCGGCACUUCAAUCACGAAGCGCAGCGCCGAAAAACGCAGUACCUAACGAAGACGGUAAUAAG
Pseudomonas rhizosphaerae is the source of this 75-nucleotide regulatory RNA element. It matches the Rfam family "sucC RNA". Lineage: Bacteria; Pseudomonadati; Pseudomonadota; Gammaproteobacteria; Pseudomonadales; Pseudomonadaceae. The record is from Rfam.